CCUCCUUCCCCUCUAGCCAGACCUCGUCACCGCCCCUGCCCUCACAACUACAAUUCCCAGAGGCCCGUGCGCUCGGAGACAUGCGCAGAAACGCGCGCCCUGCCCCAUAUUUUCCCGCGGAUUUUAUGUAGCUGGAACUAGCGCGGGAAAGUCGCCGCCGCCGCCUCCUGCCCGCGGGAGCCAAGUUGAGCGCGGCCCCCUUCGGCGGAUGCAGCGGGGAGUGAGGUGGCCUCUCCAGAGGGGGGCGCAGGGCUGCUCUGUCUCUGCGGAAAAGCCUCCCGCCGGCCGGCGCCAUCUUCGCUGAUCGGGGUAACAGAGGGUUUGGUUCCGUGAGGCAGCAGCCCUCCCCAUUCAAGAUGGCGCCGGCUGGGUGAUUGACAUGCCUCGUCACGUGGGCAGUGGCGGGGAGCCCCUCUCUCCCCGCACGCGAGCUCUAUGGUGCAGUGCAGCCGGCCACACAGGCGGCGGGGGCGCGGGACGGCGCCUCAGCGGGGUCUCUCGUGCCUCAGCCGAGGGGCGUCGCUUCAGCUGCGGCCUUACAGGACGGGAGCUCGGCUCGCCUGCCGGGUCGGGCGUUCCCCGCCCUGCCGCGGGGCUCUGCCGGGGGGGGGGGGGAGACCCGAGCCCUGCCUGGCAGCGCGGAUUCGCCGGCCCGGGCAGCCGGGGAGGAGGCGGGCAGCGGCGGCAGGGCAGUGCCGGGCAGGCGUAGGCAGCACGGCCGGUGGGACGCAGCUCCCGGCCCAGCGGGCCCGGACAAGACCGUGGGCGGGGGGGGCUCGGCUCUCGCCCCGCCCCGCUGCGGUGGCAGCUCGCAGCUCAGCCCGCGCUGGGGGCCGCAGGCGGCUGCAGUGUCGCUACUGCGCGGCGCGCUCAGGUCACGCCAGGAACAGGGCAAAGCCGAGCAGGGAGCUGGGCGGGGUUUCUCUCUGCUCGCCACAGCCGGGCCAGGAGAGUCUGGCUAAUGUCUGCGGCACAUCGAGGAUCAUCAAAGGACCCAGAACCCUGGUAUCUGCUUUUGCUUCCGUGUAAUUUCAUGUCUUGCCCAACGUGCCUGUCUGCUUAUUUUCCUCUUCAGGACGGGUCGGGUGCACCAUGGCCCUGGCUGAGGUAGUAGUUUGUGCUGUUGGUCGGGUUGUGACAUUGCCCGCUGUGGAGAUAACUGCGCAAGCUACUGCCUUGCUAGUGCUGGUGAUGAUCAGCUACAGAGGAAGACAAUGACAAUGGGAAUCCCCUUUGUUUUCUCGGGAUUGCAUGCUGAUGGGUAGCAAACAAUUCUUCCUCCGCCGCCUUCUGCAGAAAUUGAGCCUUUCCUUGGCUACUGAAAUGAGCAGCACUGGCAGCACUGGAAGAACCCCAGCACUAUACGUCAUAGACAAGACUUCAAAACACCAAACCAAAAAGACACUGAAACAAAAGUGCUGAGGCAAAGCUAGUGAAGCAUCAAAGAGAAGGGCCAAGAAACAGGAUCUUUAAUAACUCCAUUCAUUUGAAGAAGUGGAUCGUGCCCAUAAAAGCUCAUGAUACCAACUACAUGUUUUAUUAGUCUCUGUUAGUCCCCCUCCUCUGUGAGGGGGCCCUCACCCAGUGUCUCUCACCCGCAAGUUAGUUGUACGUCCUAAGUGUCCACCUAUUGUCCUUGGUGCACUUUCCUUUAGUAGUUCAUGGCCCCCCCCCCGUGCAGGGAGGGUAAGGAGACCUGGGCCCUCCCUCUCUCUGGGUCUCAGCCCAAGACCCUACAAACAAGGGCAAUGGCCUCCUGUUCAGUCGGUGGGGACGUCUCUGAAACUCACCAACCUGCGGGUAUCUCUCCACCCUGUCCUGGGCCACUUCCUGCUGUAAGGCAGAAAUAUCAAGAUGCAGAUUUAUUUGAAUAAGUGCAAAGGUCUAAUGUAAGUCUAAAACUCCAUUUUGAGUUUAGAAUGUCUUUGGUACCUUCCAUUAAAGUCCAACGUUCUGUCACGUCCACAGGUGACUGUUAAAGUUUAAAACAUAAUUCACCUGUUAGUUGCCAUUUACAUAAUAAAUAUUCAUAAGCAUUCCCAAUAUCCAAUCAGUUUGUACCAUGCCCAAGGUGCAUCAUUUGGCAUCCAAUCAUUUUAAAACCUUAUAGUUCAUGCAUAUUCAUGAGCGGAGGAUAUAAAAGCCCUUCCCUAGCAUCAGUUCGUUCUGGUCGUCGGGCUUAACCCGGGAUCAGGGUGUCGCUCGUUCGUCGGGAAUAAGUUUAGAUGAGCGAAAGAGAGUGAAAGAGGUCUUGUACAGCCUAUAAUGCUUAUAAUGGAACUCUAGGUAUCUUUCUUUUCUUCAAGGAGUCUGAUGGAAGGUCAGUUCUCCUAAUUAGAUUAUUUUAGUUUAGGUAAGGUUAGAUAGGUAGAUCUCGUCAUCGUGUCUGUACGUCAGGCUGCGUCGGUCCACGCAUGUCGGCCGUCGUCGAGUCUGUACGUCGGGUGCGUCGAGAUUAGUAUAGGGUUUUUAUUUUAGGUUAAGGUUAGGACAGGAUUAGGAUAGAGUCUAGCUUCCAUCGCCUGUUCCGGUCGCUACCGAAGCGCGAGAAGAGGAUCCGGAGACCACCUUCCGUGAAGCCUCUGAACCGACCGUCACCGAACUCAACCUGUACUUCGAGGGAUCACCUUGGUUGUUCCUCUCCUGCGGCUUCCAAUUGGCCAAAGGAUUGUAGGUCGCCAAGCGACAGGAUCAUCCGACAAGGGACACCUGGUAGUUCCUCCCUGAAGGCUUUCAAUUAGCCCGAGGGUCGUAGGUCGCCAGCAUCACAUCAAUCGUCUCCGUCGCCGCAGACUCUGUGUAGGUAUAGGGAUCUUAAGGGACUUCCCCUCCUGGUCCAUGUAGUGUAAAGGGGACUGCCCCCUUGUAUGUUGUUUUGAGGUAUUGUGUUGACAAAUUUUCUAUCUGUUCAUAAUAUAGU
Non-coding RNA from Pelodiscus sinensis (Chinese soft-shelled turtle), 2920 nucleotides. The record is from RefSeq and is a predicted model, not a curated record. Lineage: Eukaryota; Metazoa; Chordata; Testudines; Trionychidae.